UACGGAGGAUGCGAGCGUUAUCCGGAUUUAUUGGGUGUAAAGCGAGCGCAGGUGGUUUAUUAAGUCUGGUGUAAAAGGCAGUGGCUCAACCAUUGUAUGCAUUGGAAACUGGUAGACUUGAGUGCAGGAGAGGAGAGUGGAAUUCCAUGUGUAGCGGUGAAAUGCGUAGAUAUAUGGAAGAACACCAGUGGCGAAGGCGGCUGUCUGGUCUGCAACUGACGCUGAGGCUCGAAAGCAUGGGUAGCGAACAGG
This 252-nucleotide ribosomal RNA is filed under the name uncultured bacterium. Its description in RNAcentral is "partial 16S ribosomal RNA". It matches the Rfam family "Bacterial small subunit ribosomal RNA", at positions 524 to 776 of the family's 1533-position model. The record is from RNAcentral.